RNAcentral lists this ribosomal RNA (499 nucleotides) under uncultured bacterium. RNAcentral's name for it is "bacterial SSU rRNA". It matches the Rfam family "Bacterial small subunit ribosomal RNA", at positions 28 to 526 of the family's 1533-position model. The record is from RNAcentral.
GAUGAACGCUAGCGGCAGGCCUAAUACAUGCAAGUCGAACGAGAUUAGUAGCAAUACUAUGAAAGUGGCGCACGGGUGCGUAACACGUAUGCAAUCUACCUUUAAUUGGAGAAUAGCCUCGAGAAAUCGGGAUUAAUACUCCAUAACAUUAUGAAAUGGCAUCAUUUUAUAAUUAAACCUCCGGGGAUUAAAGAUGAGCAUGCGCAACAUUAGCUAGUUGGUAAGGUAAUGGCUUACCAAGGCUACGAUGUUUAGGGGGUCUGAGAGGAUGAUCCCCCACACUGGUACUGAGACACGGACCAGACUCCUACGGGAGGCAGCAGUAGGGAAUAUUGGGCAAUGGAGGCAACUCUGACCCAGCCAUGCCGCGUGCAGGAUGACGGCCCUCUGGGUUGUAAAACUGCUUUUUAUACGGGAAGAAAAAGUACUACGUGUAGUAUAUUGACGGUACCGUAAGAAUAAGGAUCGGCUAACUCCGUGCCAGCAGCCGCGGUAAAGU